Molecule: long non-coding RNA, 2604 nt
Filed under: Homo sapiens (human)
Lineage: Eukaryota; Metazoa; Chordata; Mammalia; Primates; Hominidae
Description: non-protein coding LINC02580:9
Source: RNAcentral
AGAGAUGGAGUGCAUCUGCCCCAAGUGGAGGCAGCAGCAGCAGCAGGAGGGAGGUGUCGGGGCAGUGGGGCCGCAGGGCCAGUCCUCAGGUUGGUUACUCAGUUGUCCUCCCUGGUCUGUCCUCAAGGCGUGAUUUGGGCUGGGGUUCUGGCUGCCGUCCAGCCCUCCCUGGUUGCUGUGAGCCUGGCUCUCUAGCCAGCCCUAGAAGUCCGUGAGUUAGUUCUCUGUUGCUUGCAACCAAGAACCCUGACAAGAAAGAAAACUGGCUCAGAGAGGCUGAGUAACCUGCUCAAGAUGACACAGCUUGUGGGUGGCUGAGUUGGCCUUCCAACCCAGAUUCCUGUCAUGUUCCUCAAGCCGACAGGUUCAGCUUGGUUGUGACCUCUGCUAGAAGCCCUCCCUGGCCUCCCUGUGCACUGAGCUGGUGGUUCCUCCUUUGCGCCCCAGUGCAUUUCCCACUCUUCUCAGCUUGGAUGGUCUGCAAAUUCUACCAGCCACAUAUCCACCCAAGUUCCUGAUAAACAUGUCGAAGGGGCCAGGACCAAAGCUGUGUAAGAAGCUCUCGCCACACCACCACAGGCAGGCCUCAAGGCCCAGCGCCUGAGGAGUCACAAAGCCUGCAACCUGAACUGCUUCACCCUCCAGGCCUGCAUGGCAGAGGACGCUAUGAAAGGCUUGCUGGAAUCCAGCCACGGGAGCCUGGCCAUUCUAGUGUCCUCCCUCAGCCCAUCAGCCGGACACGGAGGCUACCUGGAUCAGAUGCUGAACUCCUUCAUGGCUUACUGCAUUUUGGAUGGACAAACCCAUCUUUUCUCAGUGCAUGUCCAGAACUGUGGUAUCAAGUUCACAGAUAGGUAGAGCAGGUUUCUCUCCGUGCCCCUUCCUGAGACUCAGGCCUCCUUGGUGACUAUGCUGCAGUUUGGCAAUCUCUAGGCCAGGAGACCUAUGUAUGUAUAUACCUGUGACCCAGAAGAUAGGGUGGAGGUAGGCAAGGAGUAGGCAAGGGGUGGAGAGUUGGGGAGAGGCGAGACUCGUGGGAAUUUGGUUUUCCUUAAGGCUGGAGUUUGGAAUAAGUGGUCAAUGUAACUGGCCGUAAGCCUUGGAAUGAAACUCCUCCUUUCCCACUGGCAGAAAGGGCUGAGCCGCCGCCUUGCACAUCCCAGGCUGGAACUUGAGCCGCGCAGCUGGCUGUGUGCAAAGUGGGGAAAGAGGGGAAGAGGGGACUCUAACAAAAAUGUUCUGGGCCUGGCUGGGAAUGCUGAGCACAGAAAUUUGAUCGGGGACUGAAACAACUCCAAAUGUUUCCCACAUUUCUUGGAAAUGGAGGCAUUCUCACCAGAACCUGGGUUUUCUUUUGAAUAACACUUCCCCCUAAACCUGUCCCCCACCCUGAGAGGGUGGGAGUUGGGACGGGAAGCAAGCAUUUACCAUGCCAUCAGCGAUCCUGGGCUGUUUGUCUCUGAAAUUACCAUCAGCCAUUAGAAGGGAAAAGUGGGGAGGCUUUGCAGAAGAGGUGCAAGAACCACCCAGCAACCCCAACUCGCUCCGCUGGGCUGCUGAGGUCCAGAGAUUUAUGUUCCUCCCUCUGCCCUGGUUCUAAAGCUCCUCCUCUGAGUUCAAGCUGAGUGGAGCUGCCUCCUGCCCUCCAAGGGCAGCUGUCCUGCAGCUCGCCCCUCCCUUUCUCUAGCUGUCCACCCCUUUGGCCUCUGCUCCCUGACUCCUGCUCUUUCAGGGGCCAUGGGAGAGAGAGGCCUGACCCCUGGAUUUUCACUGCCACCUCUUAGCCAUUAGCCUGGCGCCUGAGGCCCUCGUCACACCCCAGGCUAUGCUUGGGGCUGGGAGCCCUUUGCUGCCCACGCCUGCCCCUCUCAGGAGCUGGAAGAAGCCGCUGCUAUGAUAGAAGUUUCCAUCAGAAAAAGGAGAGGAAGUGAAGGUUGCAGAAGGAGGAGAAAACAAAAGCUGUGUCAGUCUUUGCCCAUGUCCAGAUCUGGAGCCGGACAAUCGCCCCUCGGGGGCUCGGCUUUGAGCCACAGCUGUGUCUGCCCUGUGGAAGGAGGAGCAGCCUCCCCCCACCUCUGGUUUUCCAUGAGGUGGAAAUGGGGCACCUAAGGAGAGGCACGAGCAGUAACAGAACCCUCUUCAUACAUAUUAUGCCCCCCAAGAAAGCGCGGGGCCUGGGUUCAGGUCCACUUUGUCAUGAGCUGACUCUAGGGGACAGGCCCCCACCCGGGCUUCUCUCUCUUGUGGAUGUGGACUGUAUGGGUACACAGGGUUGUGCCAGAGGUUCCAGAUGCUGCAGGACAAGCAUGGCUCAUCCUGGAGAGCAUCAGGUUUGCCAGACUGUAGGAAGAAAAGCACCAUCAUUUUUAUAUUGAAGUAGCCAUGUGUAUAUUAUGAAGGAAGAUGCAAAACACAUAUCAAUUUUUAAGAAAACACCACUUUUCCAACAAAUCACACCAUUGGAGCCCCUUGAAGCUACUCCCUCGGAUGCUCACUCUCCACUCCCUUCAAAUACACCAGCCCUCUGUGCCUCAGUUUCUUCGGCCAAGAAGUGGGGUAGUGUUAACCCCACGUAUGAGGAAAGGCUGGUGGGGCUGGGUGGAG